RNAcentral lists this ribosomal RNA (250 nucleotides) under uncultured bacterium. RNAcentral's name for it is "partial 16S ribosomal RNA". It matches the Rfam family "Bacterial small subunit ribosomal RNA", at positions 524 to 772 of the family's 1533-position model. The record is from RNAcentral.
UACGUAGGGGGCAAGCGUUGUCCGGAAUCAUUGGGCGUAAAGAGCGCGUAGGCGGCCCUGUAAGUCCGCUGUGAAAGUCAAGGGCUCAACCCUUGGAUGCCGGUGGAUACUGCAGGGCUAGAGUCCGGAAGAGGCGAGUGGAAUUCCUGGUGUAGCGGUGAAAUGCGUAGAUAUCGGGAGGAACACCUGUGGCGAAAGCGGCUCACUGGACCGCAACUGGACGCUGAGGCGCGAAAGCUAGGGGAGCAAA